AGAGCGAACGCUGGCGGCAGGCCUAACACAUGCAAGUCGAACGGACUCUUCGGAGUUAGUGGCGGACGGGUGAGUAACACGUGGGAACGUGCCUUUAGGUUCGGAAUAGCUCCUGGAAACGGGUGGUAAUACCGAAUGUGCCCUUCGGGGGAAAGAUUUAUCGCCUUUAGAGCGGCCCGCGUCUGAUUAGCUUGUUGGUGAGGUAAUGGCUCACCAAGGCUACGAUCAGUAGCUGGUCUGAGAGGAUGACCAGCCACAUUGGGACUGAGACACGGCCCAAACUCCUACGGGAGGCAGCAGUGGGGAAUCUUGCGCAAUGGGCGAAAGCCUGACGCAGCCAUGCCGCGUGUAUGAUGAAGGUCUUAGGAUCGUAAAAUACUUUCACCGGUGAAAGAUAAAUGACUGUAGCCGGAGAAGAAGCCCCGGCUAACUUCGUGCCAGCAGCCGC
Molecule: ribosomal RNA, 448 nt
Filed under: uncultured soil bacterium
Lineage: Bacteria
Description: bacterial SSU rRNA
Rfam family: Bacterial small subunit ribosomal RNA
Source: RNAcentral